This is a non-coding RNA of Pantherophis guttatus, 372 nucleotides long. Lineage: Eukaryota; Metazoa; Chordata; Lepidosauria; Squamata; Colubridae. The record is from RefSeq and is a predicted model, not a curated record.
UUCAGCCUCCGUAGGGUCUCCAAGAGAGUGGGAAAGGCUGUUUUCGCCGUUCCCAGAUACACAGAGAGGAUCUGGAACCAGCCCUGGCCGAAACGGCCAUGCAGGUCAGUCUCCAUCAACUGGAUGAGGAAGAGCCUGCAAAGGGAGGCUGUGGGAGGAUUGCCAUCCUUUGCGCUGCCAACAAACAUGGCAGCCUACACGGGUGUAUGGAAGCUGGGCCCAUCCCUCUCCAUCAGCAAGUCUUUCAUUGAUGAAGCAUGCCAGAGCACAUCCAUCUCAAAAACUGUGUCCGGAGAAGAAGGAAAACACUAUUUUAAAACUGGAACGGCUGGGCUGGGAAUGAGACAAAAACAACUUGAUGAGGGAAUGCCG